RNAcentral lists this ribosomal RNA (597 nucleotides) under Salmonella enterica. Its description in RNAcentral is "partial 23S ribosomal RNA". It matches the Rfam family "Bacterial large subunit ribosomal RNA", at positions 905 to 1503 of the family's 2925-position model. The record is from RNAcentral. Lineage: Bacteria; Pseudomonadati; Pseudomonadota; Gammaproteobacteria; Enterobacterales; Enterobacteriaceae.
GAGCACUGUUUCGGCUAGGGGGCCAUCCCGGCUUACCAACCCGAUGCAAACUGCGAAUACCGGAGAAUGUUAUCACGGGAGACACACGGCGGGUGCUAACGUCCGUCGUGAAGAGGGAAACAACCCAGACCGCCAGCUAAGGUCCCAAAGUCAUGGUUAAGUGGGAAACGAUGUGGGAAGGCCCAGACAGCCAGGAUGUUGGCUUAGAAGCAGCCAUCAUUUAAAGAAAGCGUAAUAGCUCACUGGUCGAGUCGGCCUGCGCGGAAGAUGUAACGGGGCUAAACCAUGCACCGAAGCUGCGGCAGCGACGCUGAUGCGUUGUUGGGUAGGGGAGCGUUCUGUAAGCCUGCGAAGGUGGCCUGUGAGGGUUGCUGGAGGUAUCAGAAGUGCGAAUGCUGACAUAAGUAACGAUAAAGCGGGUGAAAAGCCCGCUCGCCGGAAGACCAAGGGUUCCUGUCCAACGUUAAUCGGGGCAGGGUGAGUCGACCCCUAAGGCGAGGCCGAAAGGCGUAGUCGAUGGGAAACGGGUUAAUAUUCCCGUACUUGGUGUUACUGCGAAGGGGGGACGGAGAAGGCUAUGUUGGCCGGGCGACGGUU